This 468-nucleotide ribosomal RNA is filed under the name uncultured bacterium. RNAcentral describes it as "partial 16S ribosomal RNA". It matches the Rfam family "Bacterial small subunit ribosomal RNA", at positions 28 to 507 of the family's 1533-position model. The record is from RNAcentral.
GACGAACGCUGGCGGCGUGCUUAACACAUGCAAGUCGAACGGAAAGGCCCUGCUUUUGUGGGGUGCUCGAGUGGCGAACGGGUGAGUAACACGUGAGUAACCUGCCCUUGACUUUGGGAUAACUUCAGGAAACUGGGGCUAAUACCGGAUAGGAGCUCCUGCUGCAUGGUGGGGGUUGGAAAGUUUCGGCGGUUGGGGAUGGACUCGCGGCUUAUCAGCUUGUUGGUGGGGUAGUGGCUUACCAAGGCUUUGACGGGUAGCCGGCCUGAGAGGGUGACCGGCCACAUUGGGACUGAGAGACGGCCCAGACUCCUACGGGAGGCAGCAGGGGGGAGUAUUGCACAGUGGGGGGAAGCCUGAUGCAGCAGCGCCGCGUGCGGGAUGACGGCCUUCGGGUUGUAAACCGCUUUCGCCUGUGACGAAGCGUGAGUGACGGUAAUGGGUAAAGAAGCACCGGCUAACUACGUG